Molecule: ribosomal RNA, 218 nt
Filed under: uncultured bacterium
Lineage: Bacteria
Description: partial 16S ribosomal RNA
Rfam family: Bacterial small subunit ribosomal RNA
Source: RNAcentral
UGGGUAACCUGCCUCAUAGAGUGGAAUAGCCUUCCGAAAGGAAGAUUAAUACCGCAUAACGUUGAAAGAUGGCAUCAUCAUUCAACCAAAGGAGCAAUCCGCUAUGAGAUGGACCCGCGGCGCAUUAGCUAGUUGGUGGGGUAACGGCCUACCAAGGCGACGAUGCGUAGCCGACCUGAGAGGGUGAUCGGCCACAUUGGGACUGAGACACGGCCCAG